Molecule: transfer RNA, 84 nt
Filed under: Litorimonas sp.
Lineage: Bacteria; Pseudomonadati; Pseudomonadota; Alphaproteobacteria; Maricaulales; Robiginitomaculaceae
Also listed under: 2 other names
Description: tRNA-Leu
Rfam family: tRNA
About the family: Transfer RNA (tRNA) molecules are approximately 80 nucleotides in length. Their secondary structure includes four short double-helical elements and three loops (D, anti-codon, and T loops).
Source: RNAcentral
GCGGGUGUGGCGGAAUUGGUAGACGCGCGGGAUUCAAAAUCCCGUUCCUUUGGAGUGUCGGUUCGAUUCCGACCACCCGUACCA